Molecule: ribosomal RNA, 253 nt
Filed under: uncultured prokaryote
Description: partial 16S ribosomal RNA
Rfam family: Bacterial small subunit ribosomal RNA
Source: RNAcentral
UACAGAGGUCUCAAGCGUUGUUCGGAUUCAUUGGGCGUAAAGGGUGCGUAGGUGGGCAGGUAAGUCAGUGGUGAAAUCUCCGGGCUUAACCCGGAAACUGCCGUUGAUACUAUCUGUCUUGAAUAUAGUGGAGGUGAGCGGAAUAUGUCAUGUAGCGGUGAAAUGCUUAGAUAUGACAUAGAACAUCGAUUGCGAAGGCAGCCCGCUACGCUAUUAUUGACACUGAGGCACGAAAGCGUGGGGAUCAAACAGG